Molecule: long non-coding RNA, 137 nt
Organism: Scomber japonicus (chub mackerel)
Lineage: Eukaryota; Metazoa; Chordata; Actinopteri; Scombriformes; Scombridae
Exons: 3
Source: RefSeq, a predicted model, not a curated record
ACCUGGCAAAAGGCAAUGCAUCUUUAAAAUCAGCACAGGAAAUCCUUUCAGCAUGUGGUCCAAUCAGCGGAGGAAAUACCAUCCCAACUGACCUCAUCAGCACCCAACCUCUGUCUGCUGCAGCUCCACCUACAGAG